This 514-nucleotide ribosomal RNA is filed under the name uncultured bacterium. RNAcentral describes it as "bacterial SSU rRNA". It matches the Rfam family "Bacterial small subunit ribosomal RNA", at positions 21 to 518 of the family's 1533-position model. The record is from RNAcentral.
GGCUCAGAUUGAACGCUGGCGGCGUGCUUAACACAUGCAAGUCGCGCGUGAAAGGACUUCGGUCCGAGUAAAGCGGCGCACGGGUGAGUAACGCGUGGAUGAUCUACCCAUGAGUUAGGAAUAACGGCUGGAAACGGUCGCUAAUACCAAAUACGCUCCGAUUUCAACUUCGGGGGAAAGGUGGCCUCUGCUUGCAAGCUACUGCUCAUGGAUGAGUCCGCGUCCCAUUAGCUAGUUGGGUGGGGUAACGGCCCACCAAGGCGACGAUGGGUAGCCGGUCUGAGAGGAUGACCGGCCACACUGGGACUGGAACACGGCCCAGACUCCUACGGGAGGCAGCAGUGGGGAAUAUUGCGCAAUGGGCGAAAGCCUGACGCAGCGACGCCGCGUGAGGGAUGAAAGGUCCUCGGAUCGUAAACCUCUGUCAGGAGGGAAGAACCGCCACGGUGCUAAUCAGCCGUGGUCUGACGGUACCUCCAAAGGAAGCACCGGCUAACUCCGUGCCAGCAGCAGC